AUGCCUAGGAAUCUGCCUGGUAGUGGGGGAUAACGUCCGGAAACGGACGCUAAUACCGCAUACGUCCUACGGGAGAAAGCAGGGGACCUUCGGGCCUUGCGCUAUCAGAUGAGCCUAGGUCGGAUUAGCUAGUUGGUGAGGUAAUGGCUCACCAAGGCGACGAUCCGUAACUGGUCUGAGAGGAUGAUCAGUCACACUGGAACUGAGACACGGUCCAGACUCCUACGGGAGGCAGCAGUGGGGAAUAUUGGACAAUGGGCGAAAGCCUGAUCCAGCCAUGCCGCGUGUGUGAAGAAGGUCUUCGGAUUGUAAAGCACUUUAAGUUGGGAGGAAGGGCAGUUGCCUAAUACGUAACUGUUUUGACGUUACCGACAGAAUAAGCACCGGCUAACUCUGUGCCAGCAGCCGCGGUAAUACAGAGGGUGCAAGCGUUAAUCGGAAUUACUGGGCGUAAAGCGCGCGUAGGUGGUUUGUUAAGUUGGAUGUGAAAUCCCCGGGCUCAACCUGGGAACUGCAUUCAAAACUGACUGACUAGAGUAUGGUAGAGGGUGGUGGAAUUUCCUGUGUAGCGGUGAAAUGCGUAGAUAUAGGAAGGAACACCAGUGGCGAAGGCGACCACCUGGACUAAUACUGACACUGAGGUGCGAAAGCGUGGGGAGCAAACAGGAUUAGAUACCCUGGUAGUCCACGCCGUAAACGAUGUCAACUAGCCGUUGGAAGCCUUGAG
This 727-nucleotide ribosomal RNA is filed under the name Pseudomonas sp. RNAcentral's name for it is "bacterial SSU rRNA". It matches the Rfam family "Bacterial small subunit ribosomal RNA", at positions 113 to 836 of the family's 1533-position model. The record is from RNAcentral. Lineage: Bacteria; Pseudomonadati; Pseudomonadota; Gammaproteobacteria; Pseudomonadales; Pseudomonadaceae.